This 433-nucleotide ribosomal RNA is filed under the name uncultured bacterium. RNAcentral's name for it is "bacterial SSU rRNA". It matches the Rfam family "Bacterial small subunit ribosomal RNA", at positions 28 to 459 of the family's 1533-position model. The record is from RNAcentral.
GAUGAGCGCUGGCGGCGUGCUUAACACAUGCAAGUCGAACGGGAUCCCAGGAGCUUGCUCCUGGGUGAGAGUGGCGAACGGGUGAGUAAUGCGUGACCGACCUGCCCCAUACACCGGAAUAGCUCCUGGAAACGGGUGGUAAUGCCGGAUGCUCCAGUUGGAUGCAUGUCCUUCUGGGAAAGAUUCUAUCGGUAUGGGAUGGGGUCGCGUCCUAUCAGCUUGAUGGCGGGGUAACGGCCCACCAUGGCUUCGACGGGUAGCCGGCCUGAGAGGGCGACCGGCCACAUUGGGACUGAGAUACGGCCCAGACUCCUACGGGAGGCAGCAGUGGGGAAUAUUGCACAAUGGGCGCAAGCCUGAUGCAGCGACGCCGCGUGCGGGAUGACGGCCUUCGGGUUGUAAACCGCUUUUGACUGGGAGCAAGCCCUUCGGG